RNAcentral lists this transfer RNA (71 nucleotides) under Schistosoma japonicum. RNAcentral describes it as "tRNA-Phe". The record is from RNAcentral. Lineage: Eukaryota; Metazoa; Platyhelminthes; Trematoda; Strigeidida; Schistosomatidae.
GACUCAGUGGUCUAGUGGUAGAGCGCUCGUCAAAAACCAGAGGGUCCUGGGUUUGAUUUCCGAUAGGGUCG